UACGAAGGAGGCUAGCGUUGUUCGGAGUUACUGGGCGUAAAGCGCACGUAGGCGGAUUUGUAAGUAGGGGGUGAAAUCCCUGGGCUCAACCCAGGAACUGCCUUCUAGACUGCAAGUCUUGAGAUCAGGAGAGGCGAGUGGAAUUCCGAGUGUAGAGGCGAAAUUCGUAGAUAUUCGGAGGAACACCAGUGGCGAAGGCGACUCGCUGGACUGAUACUGACGCUGAGGUGCGAAAGCGUGGGGAGCAAACAGG
RNAcentral lists this ribosomal RNA (253 nucleotides) under uncultured bacterium. RNAcentral's name for it is "partial 16S ribosomal RNA". It matches the Rfam family "Bacterial small subunit ribosomal RNA", at positions 524 to 776 of the family's 1533-position model. The record is from RNAcentral.